GCUUUUGGCUUUUCCAUGGGUGCUGGGCUGAAAGCUUUCUAAUUGGUGUUGCAUUUCUUCCUCGCUACAGGUAAGCUGUCGGCCUAGGCAGCAAGUAGGACCAAAAAGACAAGAGGAAAAACUCUCAGGUCCCAGCAGACGGACUGGCCUAUGGAAAUGAGCCAAAGGGGCCAACUGCAGAGUUGCUGAGCUGUUAUCUGAGGGGGACUUACACAAGGCUGAGCUCCGCUUACCAGCUGAGGAUACAACACAGAGGUACAAGAGGGCUACAUGAGGAGAAUAAUGGGGUUGGGGUGGGGUGGGGG
Molecule: long non-coding RNA, 305 nt
Filed under: Ornithorhynchus anatinus (platypus)
Lineage: Eukaryota; Metazoa; Chordata; Mammalia; Monotremata; Ornithorhynchidae
Description: lncRNA (ENSOANG00000046735.1)
Source: RNAcentral